UUAGCAUGGAAUAAUGAAAUAGGACGAUGAUUCUAUUUUGUUGGUUUCUAGGACCAUCGUAAUGAUUAAUAGGGACGGUCGGGGGCAUUAGUAUUCAGUUGUAAGAGGUGAAAUUCUUAGAUUUUCUGAAGACUAACUACUGCGAAAGCAUUUGUCAAGGACGUUUUCAUUAAUCAAGAACGAAAGUUAGGGGAUCGAAGAUGAUCAGAUACCGUCGUAGUCUUAACCAUAAACUAUGCCGACUAGGGAUUGGGCGACGCCUCAUGUAAAUGACGCGCCCAGCACCUUACGAGAAAUCAAAGUUUUUGGGUUCUGGGGGGAGUAUGGUCGCAAGGCUGAAACUUAAAGGAAUUGACGGAAGGGCACCACCAGGAGUGGAGCCUGCGGCUUAAUUUGACUCAACACGGGGAAACUCACCAGGUCCAGACACAAUAAGGAUUGACAGAUUGAGAGCUCUUUCUUGAUUUUGUGGGUGGUGGUGCAUGGCCGUUCUUAGUUGGUGGAGUGAUUUGUCUGCUUAAUUGCGAUAACGAACGAGACCUUAGCUUUUAUUUGCGCAGCCUAACAAUUUUGUUGGGUUUGCGCCAUAAAAGGACUAUCGAAUUCAAGUCGAUGGAAGUUUGAGGCAAUAACAGGUCUGUGAUGCCCUUAGACGUUCUGGGCCGCACGCGCGCUACACUGACGGAGCCAGCGAGUUUACCUUAGCCGAGAGGUUUGGGAAAUCUUGAGAAACUCCGUCGUGCUGGGGAUAGAGCAUUGCAAU
Molecule: ribosomal RNA, 763 nt
Filed under: uncultured fungus
Lineage: Eukaryota; Fungi
Description: SSU rRNA
Rfam family: Eukaryotic small subunit ribosomal RNA
Source: RNAcentral